Molecule: ribosomal RNA, 980 nt
Filed under: Lactococcus lactis
Lineage: Bacteria; Bacillati; Bacillota; Bacilli; Lactobacillales; Streptococcaceae
Description: bacterial SSU rRNA
Rfam family: Bacterial small subunit ribosomal RNA
Source: RNAcentral
ACGGUCGCAUGUAAUGGUUGGUACAUAUGUUACAGACAGGAUGAGCAGCGAACGGGUGAGUAACGCGUGGGGAAUCUGCCUUUGAGCGGGGGACAACAUUUGGAAACGAAUGCUAAUACCGCAUAAAAACUUUAAACACAAGUUUUAAGUUUGAAAGAUGCAAUUGCAUCACUCAAAGAUGAUCCCGCGUUGUAUUAGCUAGUUGGUGAGGUAAAGGCUCACCAAGGCGAUGAUACAUAGCCGACCUGAGAGGGUGAUCGGCCACAUUGGGACUGAGACACGGCCAAAAUUUAUACGGGAGGAGCAGUAGGGAAUCUUCGGCAAUGGACGAAAGCUGACCGAGCAACGCCGCGUGAGAAAGAAGGUUUCGGAUCGAAAAUCUGUUGGAGAGAAAACUUGUGAGAUGGAAGUCAUCAAGUGCGUAACUCCCGAAAGGAGGUAAUACUGCACGCCGGUAUACUAGUCCGGCUUGCCGGUUUUUGGCGAAAGGAACGCGAAGAACCUUACCAGGUCUUGACAUACUCGUGCUAUUCCUAGAGAUAGGAAGUUCCUUCGGGACACGGGAUACAGCUGGUGCAUGGUUGUCGUCAGCUCGUGUCGUGAGAUGUUGGGUUAAGUCCCGCAACGAGCGCAACCCCUAUUGUUAGUUGCCAUCAUUAAGUUGGGCACUCUAACGAGACUGCCGGUGAUAAACCGGAGGAAGGUGGGGAUGGCGUCAAAUCAUCAUGCCCCUUAUGACCUGGGCUACACACGUGCUACAAUGGAUGGUACAACGAGUCGCGAGACAGUGAUGUUUAGCUAAUCUCUUAAAACCAUUCUCAGUUCGGAUUGUAGGCUGCAACUCGCCUACAUGAAGUCGGAAUCGCUAGUAAUCGCGGAUCAGCACGCCGCGGUGAAUACGUUCCCGGGCCUUGUACACACCGCCCGUCACACCACGGGAGUUGGGAGUACCCGAAGUAGGUGCCUAACCUGCAACGGAC